GUAAACAUAGUUUAAAAAAAACACUAAGCUGUGGACCUAGUGACAGGGCCUACCAGCCCUUGUUUACC
RNAcentral lists this transfer RNA (68 nucleotides) under Ptenopus garrulus (Whistling gecko). RNAcentral's name for it is "tRNA-His". It matches the Rfam family "tRNA". From Rfam's summary of the family: Transfer RNA (tRNA) molecules are approximately 80 nucleotides in length. The record is from RNAcentral. Lineage: Eukaryota; Metazoa; Chordata; Lepidosauria; Squamata; Gekkonidae.